AUUGAACGCUGGCGGCAGGCUUAACACAUGCAAGUCGAGCGAGCGGCGGACGGGUGAGUCAUGUCUGGGAACCUGCCUGAUGGCGGGGGAUAACUACUGGAAACGGUAGCUAAUACCGCAUACCAUCAGAUGUGCCCAGAUGGGAUUAGCUAGUAGGUGGGGUAAUGGGUCACCUAGGCGACGCUCCCUAGCUGGGCUGAGAGGAUGACCAGCAACACUAGAACUGCGACACGGUCCAGAAGCCUACGGGAGGCAGCAGUGGGGAAUAUGGGACAAUGGGCGCAAGCCUGAUGCAGACAUGCCGCGUGUGUGAAGAAGGCCUUCGGGUUGUAAAGCACUGUCAGCGAGGAGGCGUUACUCGCAGAAGAAGCACCGGCUAACUCCGUGCCAGCAGCCGCGGUAAUUC
This 406-nucleotide ribosomal RNA is filed under the name uncultured bacterium. Its description in RNAcentral is "partial 16S ribosomal RNA". It matches the Rfam family "Bacterial small subunit ribosomal RNA", at positions 30 to 526 of the family's 1533-position model. The record is from RNAcentral.